GACGAACGCUGGCGGCGUGCUUAACACAUGCAAGUCGAACGGAAAGGCCCUGCUUUUGUGGGGUGCUCGAGUGGCGAACGGGUGAGUAACACGUGAGUAACCUGCCCUUGACUUUGGGAUAACUUCAGGAAACUGGGGCUAAUACCGGAUAGGAGCUCCUGCUGCAUGGUGGGGGUUGGAAAGUUUCGGCGGUUGGGGAUGGACUCGCGGCUUAUCAGCUUGUUGGUGGGGUAGUGGCUUACCAAGGCUUUGACGGGUAGCCGGCCUGAGAGGGUGACCGGCCACAUUGGGACUGAGAUACGGCCCAGACUCCUACGGGAGGCAGCAGUGGGGAAUAUUGCACAAUGGGCGGAAGCCUGAUGCAGCAACGCCGCGUGCGGGAUGACGGCCUUCGGGUUGUAAACCGCUUUCGCCUGUGACGAAGCGUGAGUGAAGGUAUGGGUAAAGAAGCACCGGCUAACUACGUG
RNAcentral lists this ribosomal RNA (467 nucleotides) under uncultured bacterium. RNAcentral's name for it is "partial 16S ribosomal RNA". It matches the Rfam family "Bacterial small subunit ribosomal RNA", at positions 28 to 507 of the family's 1533-position model. The record is from RNAcentral.